Molecule: non-coding RNA, 246 nt
Filed under: Clostridium sp.
Lineage: Bacteria; Bacillati; Bacillota; Clostridia; Eubacteriales; Clostridiaceae
Description: T-box sequence
Rfam family: T-box leader
About the family: Uncharged tRNA acts as the effector for transcription antitermination of genes in the T-box leader family. T-boxes are found upstream of many aminoacyl-tRNA synthetase genes and some amino acid biosynthetic genes usually in Gram-positive bacteria.
Source: RNAcentral
AAAAACGCUAUGAGCGGGCUCAAGUAGCCGUGCAAAAGGAUUCUCAGAGAGCCGUCGGUCGGUGCAAGGCGGCAGUCGUUGCAUGAGUGAAUUACUCCCCGCCAGUUGCGCUCCGAACGCCCUCGGGUCAUUAAGAGUCGCCGGGUAAGACCCGUUACAGUCUUAAAGUGAGAUUGUCACUUGUCAAGGCUUCUGCCGUGAGGCAGAGGUAAAUUGAGGUGGUACCGCGGUAUAUCCGCCCUCUGA